GGAAAUGGGGUGUGUGUGUGUGUGUGUGUGUGUGUGUGUGUGUGUGUCCAUGCGCGCACAUGUGCUCAUACACACACUACACAGCUUAGACU
This 92-nucleotide microRNA precursor is filed under the name Notamacropus eugenii (tammar wallaby). RNAcentral describes it as "miRNA (ENSMEUG00000017214.1)". Lineage: Eukaryota; Metazoa; Chordata; Mammalia; Diprotodontia; Macropodidae. The record is from RNAcentral.